GCCAGGCGUGGUGGCUCACGCCUGUAAUCCCAGCACUUUGGGAGGCAGAGGCAGGUGGAUCACCUGAGGUCAGGAGUUCGAGACCAGCCUGACCAACAUGGAGAAACCCUGUCUCUA
Molecule: unclassified non-coding RNA, 117 nt
Organism: Pongo abelii (Sumatran orangutan)
Lineage: Eukaryota; Metazoa; Chordata; Mammalia; Primates; Hominidae
Rfam family: Metazoan signal recognition particle RNA
About the family: The signal recognition particle (SRP) is a universally conserved ribonucleoprotein.
Source: Ensembl